AGAGUGAACGCUGGCGGUAGGCCUAACACAUGCAAGUCGAACGGCAGCACGGUAAGAGCUUGCUCUUAUGGGUGGCGAGUGGCGGACGGGUGAGGAAUACAUCGGAAUCUACCUUUUGGUGGGGGAUAACGUAGGGAAACUUACGCUAAUACCGCAUACGCCCUUCGGGGGAAAGCCGGGGACCAGCAAUGGCCUGGCGCUGAUAGAUGAGCCGAUGUCGGAUUAGCUAGUUGGUGAGGUAAUGGCUCACCAAGGCGACGAUCCGUAGCUGGUCUGAGAGGAUGACCAGCCACACUGGAACUGAGACACGGUCCAGACU
Molecule: ribosomal RNA, 319 nt
Filed under: uncultured soil bacterium
Lineage: Bacteria
Description: bacterial SSU rRNA
Rfam family: Bacterial small subunit ribosomal RNA
Source: RNAcentral